RNAcentral lists this ribosomal RNA (242 nucleotides) under uncultured bacterium. RNAcentral's name for it is "partial 16S ribosomal RNA". It matches the Rfam family "Bacterial small subunit ribosomal RNA", at positions 113 to 354 of the family's 1533-position model. The record is from RNAcentral.
CGACGUGAGCAAUCUGCCUUGGAGUGGGGAAUAACGGUUGGAAACAGCCGCUAAUACCGCAUGAUACAGCUACCCCGCAUGGGGUUGGCUGCCAAAGAUUUAUCGCUCUGAGAUGAGCUCGCGUCUGAUUAGCUUGUUGGCGGGGUAACGGCCCACCAAGGCGACGAUCAGUAGCCGGACUGAGAGGUUGGCCGGCCACAUUGGGACUGAGACACGGCCCAGACUCCUACGGGAGGCAGCAG